Molecule: ribosomal RNA, 253 nt
Filed under: uncultured bacterium
Lineage: Bacteria
Description: partial 16S ribosomal RNA
Rfam family: Bacterial small subunit ribosomal RNA
Source: RNAcentral
UACGAAGGGGGCUAGCGUUGCUCGGAAUUACUGGGCGUAAAGGGAGCGUAGGCGGACAUUUAAGUCAGGGGUGAAAUCCCAGGGCUCAACCCUGGAACUGCCUUUGAUACUGGGUAUCUGGAGUUCGGGAGAGGUGAGUGGAAUUCCGAGUGUAGAGGUGAAAUUCGUAGAUAUUCGGAGGAACACCAGAAGCGAAGGCGGCUCACUGGCCCGAUACUGACGCUGAGGCGCGAAAGCGUGGGGAGCAAACAGG